UGCCAGCCGCCGCGGUAAUACGUAGGGUGCAGGCGUUAAUCGGAAUUACUGGGCGUAAAGCGUGCGCAGGCGGUUUCUUAAGUCAGAUGUGAAAGCCCCGGGCUUAACCUGGGAACUGCGUUUGAAACUGGGAGACUUGAGUGUGGCAGAGGGGGGUGGAAUUCCACGUGUAGCAGUGAAAUGCGUAGAUAUGUGGAGGAACACCAAUGGCGAAGGCAGCCCCCUGGGUCAACACUGACGCUCAUGCACGAAAGCGUGGGUAGCAAACAGGAUUAGAUA
RNAcentral lists this ribosomal RNA (279 nucleotides) under uncultured bacterium. Its description in RNAcentral is "partial 16S ribosomal RNA". It matches the Rfam family "Bacterial small subunit ribosomal RNA", at positions 506 to 784 of the family's 1533-position model. The record is from RNAcentral.